Molecule: non-coding RNA, 20 nt
Filed under: Arabidopsis thaliana (thale cress)
Lineage: Eukaryota; Viridiplantae; Streptophyta; Magnoliopsida; Brassicales; Brassicaceae
Source: RNAcentral
AAGCCCUUGGUUGGGGAUGG